Molecule: ribosomal RNA, 492 nt
Filed under: uncultured bacterium
Lineage: Bacteria
Description: partial 16S ribosomal RNA
Rfam family: Bacterial small subunit ribosomal RNA
Source: RNAcentral
AGUGAACGCUGGCGGUAGGCCUAACACAUGCAAGUCGAACGGCAGCACAGUAAGAGCUUGCUCUUACGGGUGGCGAGUGGCGGACGGGUGAGGAAUACAUCGGAAUCUACUUUUUCGUGGGGGAUAACGUAGGGAAACUUACGCUAAUACCGCAUACGACCUACGGGUGAAAGCAGGGGAUCUUCGGACCUUGCGCGAUUGGAUGAGCCGAUGUCGGAUUAGCUAGUUGGCGGGGUAAAGGCCCACCAAGGCGACGAUCCGUAGCUGGUCUGAGAGGAUGAUCAGCCACACUGGAACUGAGACACGGUCCAGACUCCUACGGGAGGCAGCAGUGGGGAAUAUUGGACAAUGGGCGCAAGCCUGAUCCAGCCAUACCGCGUGGGUGAAGAAGGCCUUCGGGUUGUAAAGCCCUUUUGUUGGGAAAGAAAAGCAGCAGGUUAAUACCCCGCUGCUCUGACGGUACCCAAAGAAUAAGCACCGGCUAACUUCGUG